GCAGAGCUUGCUCUGCUGGAUCAGUGGCGAACGGGUGAGUAACACGUGAGCAAUCUGCCCCUGACUCUGGGAUAAGCGCUGGAAACGGCGUCUAAUACUGGAUACGAGCUGCGAAGGCAUCUUCAGCAGCUGGAAAGAACUUCGGUCAGGGAUGAGCUCGCGGCCUAUCAGCUUGUUGGUGAGGUAACGGCUCACCAAGGCGUCGACGGGUAGCCGGCCUGAGAGGGUGACCGGCCACACUGGGACUGAGACACGGCCCAGACUCCUACGGGAGGCAGCAGUGGGGAAUAUUGCACAAUGGGCGAAAGCCUGAUGCAGCAACGCCGCGUGAGGGACGACGGCCUUCGGGUUGUAAACCUCUUUUAGCAGGGAAGAAGCGAAAGUGACGGUACCUGCAGAAAAAGCGCCGGCUAACUACGUGCCAGCAGCCGCGGUAAUACGUAGGGCGCAAGCGUUAUCCGGAAUUAUUGGGCGUAAAGAGCUCGUAGGCGGUCUGUCACGUCUGCUGUGAAAACCCGAGGCUCAACCUCGGGCCUGCAGUGGGUACGGGCAGACUAGAGUGCGGUAGGGGAGAUUGGAAUUCCUGGUGUAGCGGUGGAAUGCGCAGAU
This 609-nucleotide ribosomal RNA is filed under the name Microbacterium lacticum. RNAcentral's name for it is "bacterial SSU rRNA". It matches the Rfam family "Bacterial small subunit ribosomal RNA", at positions 73 to 695 of the family's 1533-position model. The record is from RNAcentral. Lineage: Bacteria; Bacillati; Actinomycetota; Actinomycetes; Micrococcales; Microbacteriaceae.